Molecule: long non-coding RNA, 116 nt
Organism: Thalassophryne amazonica
Lineage: Eukaryota; Metazoa; Chordata; Actinopteri; Batrachoidiformes; Batrachoididae
Exons: 3
Source: RefSeq, a predicted model, not a curated record
CUGUGGAGCGGGGAGCGCCUACUAUCCUGAGGGAAACUUCGGAGGGAAACAGCUACUAGAUGGUUCGAUUAGUCUUUCGCCCCUAUACCCAGGUCGGACGACCAAUUUGCAUGUCA